GAGGAUGUAGCUCAGUGGUAGAGUGUGUGCCUGGCAUGCACGAGGUCCUGGGUUCAGUUCCCAGCACCUCCA
This 72-nucleotide transfer RNA is filed under the name Camelus bactrianus (Bactrian camel). It matches the Rfam family "tRNA". Rfam says of the family: Transfer RNA (tRNA) molecules are approximately 80 nucleotides in length. RNAcentral also lists the same sequence under 3 other names. Lineage: Eukaryota; Metazoa; Chordata; Mammalia; Artiodactyla; Camelidae. The record is from Rfam by way of RNAcentral.